CUAAAGGCUCUUUUCAGAGCCACCCACGAUCUCACUGAGAGAAGCU
This is a non-coding RNA of Monodelphis domestica (gray short-tailed opossum), 46 nucleotides long. NCBI's taxonomy places the organism in Eukaryota, Metazoa, Chordata, Mammalia, Didelphimorphia, Didelphidae. The record is from Rfam.